AGCCACACCGCUGCAUACAUUUCUUUUCCUUCGCAACGCAGCUGUAGACAAGUUCACUUUUCUCGCGCUCCCGCAACUAAUAAAUGCAUAAAAUGAUUGUGAGGUAUUGGUGAACGUGUUAAAAGCCUGGAAAAUAAAUUGAAAAUGUGUUGCAUCUGGCUGUGAUGCACUGAAAAACCACGCGCACGUGUUGCCUGGAUUAGUAAGCCGGAAAUGUCCACGUGUUGGCGCGCAUCAUUGGUUCUGUUCACCAUGCUUGAGGUGAGUUAAGAUCUGCUGCGGUUGCAGACCACAGGCAAGUGAGGUGUUGUCUAUGGAAAGAGAUAAGCCGGCGGUUCAUCAAGCAGAUCUUUAAGUAUGCCGCAACUUUUAAUGGAUCCGAUGAGAUGUCGAAAAUGUCUGCUCCGAAGCAUUUUAAGCCCGUGCAGAUUGGAAGUGAACUGUCAUUAACUCGCCUCGGCUUUACUUGGCUGGCUGGCACAAACAAUUCUCGAAAUUGAUAAAAACUGUGCCAGUCGAAUGUGUCGAAAAUGAUUUAAAAGUCUUGUACAGAAUAAAUUUGAAUAAAAAUGCUGCUUGAUAUUUUUUAUAAUAACGUGAUAUAAUUUAUUUUGUAUUUCAUAUCAUAGACAUUUACUUUUUUUUUUGUUUGGGUUAUUUGUAACGCUACAAAUCUUGUCGCAUUUGGGUCUUGCCUUUUUAAAUAUAUAAGAAUAAUUUUGCUUGUAAAUGUUUUGAAUUUAAUAUGUUUUGGUAUUUGUAAAUUUAUACUCGUAUCAUAUGAUAUACAUAUAUAUGUGCGCAUAUAAAUACAUAUAUAUUUAUUUACAUAUAUAUGUGUAAGUGUUAAUGCGCUUCUGCGUAAUACCCUCAAUAGACCCUGCACAACAACCGAAAACCAAAUCAAAACCGUUCGAACGAGGCUAUUUGGGCCUCCCCACUAUGUAUGCAUAUAUAUAUAUAUAUAUUUGGAUAUAUCUCGAUAUCGACUGUUAGAAGCUGCUUCCGUUUCCGCUCUACGCACAUGAAUAUUAUGCUGAAACAUUUGAUUGAAAGCGCGACAAUAAUAUUGUAUACAAAUCUAGAUUCUAUAUAUACUGAGAGAGAGAGACAUAUAUAUGUUGUAUUUGUUUAGCGUUAUAAAAUUUGUGACUACAAGUGGAUAGACAACAUUUAUAAAAUUUUCUUUCUGUGAAAUAUUCAUAGUUAUUCAUACAUAUUUGAUUUAUGCUUUAACAAACAUAUAGAACUCUACAACUAAUCAAUAAAUAAAAAUAAAUUCAAUUCAACUCUGUUUAUGCAAUGUCUGAAAGCGGUUCAGUCAUAUCGAGCAUUAUAUUCUCUGCGAAAUGGAACUUAAACAAAUAAAUAAAUAAAAAAAAAUAGGUUCCAAUAUUCAUUUUUUAACAUCAAUGACGAUUAGAAAAUGGAUUUUCAAUUACGGCUCAAAGAGUUAUACGCAUACGAAUAUAUAGAUAUCAAUUCCGUGUGGAAGUCUGAUUGAUAUAUGAGAAGUGCAAUAUACACUAUAUAUAUUUAUAGUGUAGCUUGUAAACCAAGUCAAGAUGUGUCAACAUUUCUCUCAGAUGUUUUUGUGAAUUUAUUUUCAAUUUUGUUUUAUAAGUGUAAUCGUAUAGGUGUUUUUAUAAAACAAUAAGGAAUCAACAAUAUUCAUAAAAUGUAUCAUUAUAGAAUAUAUGAU
RNAcentral lists this small RNA (1702 nucleotides) under Drosophila virilis. RNAcentral's name for it is "GJ19857". Lineage: Eukaryota; Metazoa; Arthropoda; Insecta; Diptera; Drosophilidae. The record is from RNAcentral.